CCCGCUGAACUUAAGCAUAUCAAUAAGCGCAGGAAAAGAAACCAACAGGGAUUGCCUCAGUAACGGCGAGUGAAGCGGCAACAGCUCAAAUUUGAAAUCUGGCCUCUCGGGGUCCGAGUUGUAAUUUGUAGAGGAUGUUUUGGGUACCGCCCCGGUUUAAAUUUCUUGGAACAGAAUGUCAAAGAGGGUGAGAAUCCCGUCUUGGACCGGCGGUAGGGCCUAUGUAAAACUCCCUCGACGAGUCGAGUUGUUUGGGAAUGCAGCUCAAAAUGGGUGGUAAAUUUCAUCUAAAGCUAAAUAUUGGCCAGAGACCGAUAGCGCACAAGUAGAGUGAUCGAAAGAUGAAAAGCACUUUGAAAAGAGAGUUAAACAGUAUGUGAAAUUGUUGAAAGGGAAGCGCUUGCAACCAGACUUGAGCGCGGCGGUUCCCCUAGCCUUUUGGCUAGGUUACUCCGCCGUGUCCAGGCCAACAUCGGUUCUGAGGGUCGGUCAAAGGCCUUGGGAAUGUAUCCACCUACGGGUAGACUUAUAGACCAGGGUGUCAUGCGGCCUCUCGGGACCGAGGAACGCGCUUCGGCUCGGAUGUUGGCGUAAUGGUUGUCAGCGACCCGUCUUGAAACACGG
This 624-nucleotide ribosomal RNA is filed under the name uncultured fungus. RNAcentral's name for it is "eukaryotic LSU rRNA". It matches the Rfam family "Eukaryotic large subunit ribosomal RNA", at positions 24 to 664 of the family's 3401-position model. The record is from RNAcentral. Lineage: Eukaryota; Fungi.